RNAcentral lists this long non-coding RNA (1571 nucleotides) under Rattus norvegicus (Norway rat). RNAcentral's name for it is "partial HAfT13 1571nt". Lineage: Eukaryota; Metazoa; Chordata; Mammalia; Rodentia; Muridae. The record is from RNAcentral.
CUGCUGUUGCUUAAGUCCCAGUCCAUAUUUGGAAUGUUCUGCCUUAUUGCUAAGGUUAGGUCCCAUUUCAAAGCAUCUCGCUGGGCCUGAACACCCAGUUUCAUUAUCUUUCCCAGUGAUGAUGAUUUCCCCUGUAUUAGUCAGGAUUCUUUAAAGGAAUACAACCAAUAGAAUGAAAACACACACACACACACACACACACACACACACACACACACACGUGCACGCCCAUAUGCAAUUUAUUAGAAUUGUUUUCAGGCUGCGGUCUGAGCAGUCCAACAAUAGCUGUCUCCCGAUGGAAAGGCCAAGGAUCUGGUAGCUGUUCGGUCCACAAGUUUGGAUGUCUCAGCAGUCCCCAUGUGGUGCUGGAGCCCCAGGGACGACCUAGGGAGCUGCCGGUUUUCCUGUCUUCAUUGGAAUCCUAAAGAAGUGGGAUCUAACAGCAGCAAAGGACUACCUCCACAGCAAGAUAGAUGCACUUUCCAGUGAGAGAGAGGGCAAGCAGGCAAAAAGCACAAGCUUCCUUCAUCCAUGUCCAGAAGGUGUGGCCCGGGUUUAGCAUGGAUCUUCCCAUCUCAAAUAAUCCAGCCCAGCUGCUUGGGGUUUUAGUGACUUCCAGACAUAGUCAAAUUGACAACUGGGAUUGGCCAUCACGCCACCCCAAUAUUUACCAAGCACAUUUUUUUUUGUCCACCCUGUUGUCAUCAGUUCUCUCAGAGAAUGCAACUCCGGGUUUUUCCUCGAUCCCCACAUCUGUUACUCAUGUGACAACAGUGGACAUUAAGUUAAGGUGAAGCUGUGCACACGGCUCUCCCUUACCAUGACAAAAGUCUCGGGAAAGCAUAAAGAGGAAGGAAUCGUUCUGGCUUGAGAAGCUUCCACCUUUGGCCACGUUGCUGUGUUGCUUCCGGGCUGCCCCAUCACCUUUGGUAAGUGAGCAUCUAAGCCACAACAGAAGGCUGUCUCCAACCAUAGGCUGCCUCUGGAACACUGGGUGCUGGGUUUAGAGUACAGAUCCCCAGACAUCAUAUCCCAGAGAGAGUCAGAAUCAAGGCUAGGGUCCGAGGUCUUCAUAAGUCUGUUUCCGGUGCUUCCGGGUCUUGCUCUUCUUCAGGAGCAGUGGCUGCUGGGUAAAGGGAAACUCCGGUGCAGAGGCACCUUCACGUGUAGUUCUUGCCCACACCUGUGCUACAUCACGCUAACUUCUACUUUCAUGUUUUAUGUGUCACCAACUCUCUCUUCCUAUGUAGACCAAGCAACCGCAACUCCUCCAUUAGCUCCAGCAGCAUCUCUUCCUCUAGGUCAGGUUUGUGCUUUCUCUUCCUGCAAAGCUUGCCGCACAUACCUCUUUCGUUUCCUUUCACUAGUUGUUAAAUAAAUUUAUCUAUGUGUGCACCUCCGUUUGGCAUCAGACUAUAAAGUCAUUAAAGGACCAAUGCACUUCUUACAUGGGGAGCCUUGAUGGAACACUGCAGUCUCUAGUUUAUAGUAGGCACUGGACUCCAUCUGUGUUUCCUCUCUCGCUUCGGAAAUCAGAUGUGGAAAAUAUUUAAUAUCCCCGGGGAAGUUCU